UGCUUCUUUUUCUUCUUAGGUCUUCUCUUUCUCCGAGGCUUGUGAGCAUCAGAGUUGGAGCUUAGACUACUGCCAUGACCUGUCCGAGGCUUGUGAGCAUCAGAGUUGGAGCUUAGACUACUGCCAUGACUGGUCCCUGAUCUUGAGGGUUCCCUUACUCUGAAGUCUGAGCUGGUCCCUGCUCUUGAAGGUUCCCUUACUCUGAAGUCUGAGCUGGUCCCUGAUCUUGAGGGUUCCCUUACUCUGAAGUCUGAGCUGCUUUUGCUGUUUGAGGGUUCCCUUACUCUGAAGUCUGAGCUGCUUUUGCUGUUUGAUGCGUAGCGGGAUGUAGAAAUAUCAGAUCUCUGUUUAGAUGAAUUUUGGCCUGCAGACCCAAACCUU
RNAcentral lists this long non-coding RNA (381 nucleotides) under Medicago truncatula (barrel medic). RNAcentral describes it as "long non-coding RNA (MTRU_LNC005427)". Lineage: Eukaryota; Viridiplantae; Streptophyta; Magnoliopsida; Fabales; Fabaceae. The record is from RNAcentral.